Molecule: non-coding RNA, 45 nt
Organism: Heligmosomoides polygyrus
Lineage: Eukaryota; Metazoa; Nematoda; Chromadorea; Rhabditida; Heligmosomidae
Source: Rfam
CCAACGGCCCUCUUUAGGGCCACAUCUGCAUCGCUAUACGAAUCG